CUGGUACAAUGGAAGCAAUGAAAAUACCAAGGUCGAGUUUACCUGUAUUGUCCUCGCCGACAAUCACAAAACCUGCAAUGAGACCACAGCAAAGUCAGAGACAAAAGUCCUCAGUUAAAGAAUCAGGCUGAUGGAGGACUCGCUGAAGGUGAUGGAAGGACUGUGAGACCUGCCCGGUGUCUUAGGAGAAACGUCGUGGUGGGGGCUCCGGCCGAGCCAACUGCAGGUGCUGUCCCUGUGACGAGCCCCUCGCGGGAGCCUGCGUUGCGAGGGGGAAGAGAUCAAAUUCAAGCACUAACUCACCAUGAAGCCUUUCUCUGAUCAUCUGGCUCCGCCCACUCAGAGGCAAGCUGCUGUCAGAGCUAUGGUCCAUCUGAGAGAAUAAGGACUGGUGAGAUAACAGUCUACAAACCAAAAGGGCCCACAGGUGCAGACUCACGGGUUCACUGAAGACCUCCUCCACCAGCUGCCUGAUGACGUCGGAAGAUGGUGGCAAGUUUGAGGCUUUCUGACGACACUCACAGGAUUCCAGGAUGGAGCUAAUAGUUUGCCUGCGAUGGGACACGUCCUCACACAUGCUGAGGAGGAGGCUGUUGAGAUGGUCGCUCAACUGGACUGGCUGAGAGGAGAUGUUAAAAAUCAACCUACCUCCAAACCGUAUAAUACUCAACCUCCCUGAAGUUCUAGAAACAGAAUUUGAAGACUGAGAUGGGUUCUUCAAAUCUUGAGUCAGACUCGAAUCGACAGUUUUAUGACUUGCAACUUGCUGGAACAACUUUUUUUUUUUCCCUGGGUAUUCAACAAAGUCGACUAAACUUUUAAUGGAAAAUUAAUUAAAUGCAUUUUGCAAUAUGUCUGAAAUAUACAAUGUGGGAGAAGUGUAGUGCUGUGAAUGCUGUCUGGAUGAUGAAAGCUCACCUGAUUUUGAGGUUUGGUUGAGCUGGCACGGCCCUGCAGCAUCUCUGGAGCAGUGAAGGUCGACGCCUCCUCUGAUAGGCCACAGUUCUUAAAUGCUAAGCUACCGGUAGCUGACAGCAGCAAGGAGGUGGGGCUUAUGAUAUUGCAC
Long non-coding RNA from Syngnathus acus (greater pipefish), 1066 nucleotides. RefSeq lists it as uncharacterized. NCBI's taxonomy places the organism in Eukaryota, Metazoa, Chordata, Actinopteri, Syngnathiformes, Syngnathidae. The record is from RefSeq and is a predicted model, not a curated record. The transcript is spliced from 5 exons.